RNAcentral lists this ribosomal RNA (439 nucleotides) under uncultured bacterium. Its description in RNAcentral is "bacterial SSU rRNA". It matches the Rfam family "Bacterial small subunit ribosomal RNA", at positions 552 to 989 of the family's 1533-position model. The record is from RNAcentral.
UACUGGGCGUAAAGCGCGCGUAGGCGGUUUGUUAAGUCAGAUGUGAAAUCCCCGGGCUCAACCUGGGAAUGGCAUUUGAGACUGGCAGGCUAGAGUAUGGUAGAGGUGAGUGGAAUUUCAGGUGUAGCGGUGAAAUGCGUAGAGAUCUGAAGGAACAUCAGUGGCGAAGGCGACUCACUGGGCCAUUACUGACGCUGAGGUGCGAAAGCGUGGGUAGCAAACAGGAUUAGAUACCCUGGUAGUCCACGCCCUAAACGAUGUCAACUAGGUGUAUGGAGAAAAUAUUCUUUGUGUAUCGAAGCUAACGCGAUAAGUUGACCGCCUGGGGAGUACGGUCGCAAGACUAAAACUCAAAUGAAUUGACGGGGGCCCGCACAAGCGGUGGAGCAUGUGGUUUAAUUCGAUGCAACGCGAAGAACCUUACCUGGCCUUGACAUGU